CAACUAGUAUCCACGAGGAUGCUGGUUCGAUCCCUGGCCUUGCUCAGUGGGUUAAGUAUCUGGCUACCCCGUGGAACAUGGAGCUCCUGGGCCAGUGAUCAGAUCUGAGCCACAGGUGUAAGCUAUGCUGCAGCUGUGGCAACCCUGGACCUUUUAACCCAUUUUGCCCAGCCAGGGAUCGAACCUGCAUCCUGAAGCUGCAGAGACCAGCUGAUCCCAUUGCACCACAGCAGGAACUCCUGGAAUGAAGCUUUUUAAUCUUGUAUUUAAUCCUAAUAGUUGAAUUAUGCCUAGGUCUGAUAAUAUUAUGAAGUUUAUUUGAAGUAUUAGGUAAAGAUUUUUCUAGUUAAACAGUUAAUGUCUUUGCCUGGAUGAGAAAGAAAAAAGAGCAAGUCUGCAGAUCAACCCUUUCCGGACUUAGAGCAAUUUAUCAGCCUGAUGUGUGAUGGCCCUCUCAUUUUGUGUAAUCACAGUGCAUAUAUAUGAUUUAUCAGAGCUGCCACAAAUUAUUGCUAUGCUUAAUUUAUUCAGAAUCUAGUUCUCUAUUUAUGUAUCUAAAUGACAAAUACUAAACACAGGGAAGGGAAAAAAAUCUGUGUUCAAUAAAUUGAAACAUGAUUUGUUAUAUACCUCAUAAAGUUUAGUGGCCUUUAGCUAAAGAGUCUAUUUUUGAUUGAACAAAGGGUUUAAUUAUUAUAACCAACACCAUUUCAGCAUUAUCUUCCCUUUGAAAUAUUGCAGUUAAAUUUUUCAGUCCAAGCAAUUACUUAUUUGUAAAAAAAAAAUGACUACCUUUGAGGCUUGAAUUAAAGAUGAUAAAAAUUAGCCAUCUAAAACCAUUUCAAUUUUAUGAAAAAUAAAACUGAGUGCAAUGUUUCAGCUUGAAAGCUCAGAUGAUCUUUAGGGGAAAUUAGUGAUGUUGCUAAUGGUAGUUCCAAUUUCAUAAGACACUAGAAGGAAGCAAUCAAAGAGGCAAAAACAAGAUAAAUAAUCCUUAAAAUGGAACAAUUAAAUAAAGAUCAGUUGUGACAAAAAUCAUGACAAUGUUCUGAGACUUUAAAAGGCAAUGUCUUCCUUUUUGUUAAUUAGAGAUAAUCUACAUUUUACAAUAUGUAACUAUUAACUAGGCGAUGGUAUGUUUUCUGUUGAUAUAGAAAUGGAUGUGUUUCCAGAUGGACUUCUGUUCAACAGGGGAGGUGGCUAAGGGUAUAAUUUCUCAUUUCUCUAGGUAUAACUUGGAUAAUCUCUAGGCUCUCCAUCAUUUUCGUCUUCAAAAUUAAACUACAUAUAUAAACCAUGUGCAUCAGAACUCAAACUAGGGCAAUAUAUUUUUUCAUUUGGUACAGAUAUUAAAAUACCUGCUUAUUUACACACACAGCCAAGUGUAAAUAUGAAAUGAAAAAAUGUCACAUAGGAUUCUCUCGGGCAAGUAUAUUCGCCUUCAUAACACUUCUGCCUGCAUUUCUAACUUCAUGAAAUGAACACUAUAUACUGCGGGCCUGACAGAUGUUGAAUGUGCUGUUGUUACCUCAUUUACAUAUGCAGAUGAAAAUGUUUCCCUUUGUUUUGCACUAGCUCGAUCUCUUAAUUUUGAUGAUCUCAAAAUCUGUUUUUAUUAGGUAUACAAGAAAAAAUAGUCAAUUAUUUCGUAAAGAAAUUCAUCCACAUAAUGUGCAUCUAUUCAUACACAGAAUAAAUUUUAAAUGUAUGUAUUACUUUAUUCUGACCCAUUAUAGUCACAGUGAUAAUAUUAGAGCUCUCUUGAUUCAUAUUGCUUUAAAAUUCAUGCAAAUGGGCAUAAAUACUAGUUUUGCCCUUUUGUUUAGCAUUUUCGUGCAUAUUUCUUCCCACAUAAGUAAAUAUUUCUUACUUUCGAAUUCCUUUUUUUCUUUCUGAGAAUUUAACAGGCCAGGAUAUCAAACUGUAAGCAAAAUAAAUUUUUAGACUCUGCCACAUUUACUUUAUUGAGAUGAAUAAAAUGCUAAAUUCUAGUAUAACCUUCUUUCCCCAGGAUAGGACAGCUAGGAGGGAGACAGCAAGGGCCUCACUUACAGAACUGCACUCCAGGGGACCUUCAGCUUUUUUCCUAGGGUACCAGCUCUCUGGUACCUCUCCCAUCCCUGCCCCAGGGAUUCCCUCACUGGCUGUGUCCCUCCUAUGGGCUUUUCAGAAGUUAAAAGCCCAUAGGAGGGACACAGAACUUCCACAUGCCAUGGGUGCAGCCCUAAAGAGAUAAUUUUUUUUAAUGGUUAUUUCCCCAAUAAAUAGAUUUAUUUUUUUUUUUUUUAUUAAAGUAUAGUUGAUUUACAAUGUUGCGUCAGUUGGAACAAAGAAUGACUUGAAUUUUGGAAUGGAUGGAGGAUUUGUGUAGUGGGAAACACUGAAAAUAUAGGCAGGACAAGGAUCAUAAGAGGCCUCACAUUCCAAGCAUUUAGAUUCUUGGGCCAAACUGCGCUGCAGUCAAACUGUGAUCCAGUCCCACAAGGUCUUAAUAAUGAUCCUCACAAAAUUGUUCCGGAGUUAAAAUGUCUAAAAGCACUCUAAUUACUCUUUUAGACAGACGCAGUGCAUUUUAGCACAGUAAAAAUGCUCUAAAAAGUGCUGCAAUAAAGAAAUCUGUUCCACCCAGAAUUUCUCAGAGUUAUUUGACCUUGGGACACCCCCUCAUCCUUUUUUCACAGAAUGCUUUUUGCCUUCAGCAAAACGUCUGUCCUAGGGAAUAAAGCCGCUUUAGGUUUGGUAGGGAUUUUUGCAGGAAUUCGAAGAAGGAACUAGUUCCCUAUACAAAGGCAGGUCCACAGGGUGGGGAAACUGCAUGAUCCUGGGACUGUUUGAAUUUACCAGCAUUUUUUUUUUUUUUUUCUUUUUAACGGCUGCACCUGUGGCACAUGGAAGUUCCCAAGCUAGGAGGCAAAUCUGAGUUGCAGCUUCCAGCCUUCCCCAUAGCCACAGCAACACUGGAUUCAAGCCACAUCUGUGACCUACACUGCAGCUUGGGUUAAUGCUGGAUCCUUAAUGUACCGAGGGAGGCCAGGGAUGGAACCAGCAUCCUCACGGAGACAACGCUGGUCCUUGACCCACUGAGUCACAACAGGAACUCCUUUAAAGUAUUUUCAUUGUAGAAAUUGAGACCAUAAAUACCAAUGAAUCAAGAUAUAUUUAUGACAGAGUUUUCAUGUGCAAAGCAAUGGAUAUGGGUGCCACAUGGAAUACACAUACAAAUAAUCAGUUACUGCUCAUGAUAAACUUAUAAGAGACUUGUAAGAUAUUUUCAUAAGUAACUAUAAUAUGAAGAGGAAUAUGAAGUGUGACAAUAAAGUUCCUACAAAGUGUUGUGGGCUGAAGAUGUGGCAGAAGAGAUGGGCUUUCUCAAGAACAGCAUUUGAAAUGAGAACAUCUCUGGUGGAAAAGGAGCAAGCGACGAAACAAGCUGGUUCUGAGCACAAAAGUGGCAGACUAGCAAGCGAAACCUCACGCUUCGAAGGUUUGUAUUUGACCUUCACAGUGCUGCUGACAUUUAAACAUUUAAACAGAGAUUUACCUAAACCCUGUCUUUCUAGCAUCUGUUGUGAAUAAAAAGACUUAGGAAUAAUAACCUGGGGCUGGGUAGAUACAUCCUCUUUCAAUAGACUAUGUAGGCUCUAGUUUGGCACAAUCUCACUCUAAUCAAUUGUCCUGGGACAAUGUCUGGAGCUGUUUAUCACCUAGGUGACAGCUGCUUUUUUUCAAGUAUAAGGAAGAGGAGAGUAAAAUUUUUCUUAUAUCCAUGUUUCUACAAAAAGUGGGAAAAAAGAGGAGUUCCCUAAUGGUGACAGUAUGUUCAGGACAUGGUGUUUUCAUUGCAGUGGCUUGGGUUGCUGCUGUGGCAUGGGUUCCACCCUGACUCAGGAACAUCUACAUGCUGUGGGACUGGCCGAAAAAAAAAAAAAAAGUUGGGAAGACAGAAUAUGUAGGCCACAAAUUUCAAGAACAAUGAGCAAGAGAACAUUACUUGCAGGAGAUAAGACUACUGUAACAUGUUUGAUGUACGUACAAAUGCAUCUGUUUUGAAAGAAUGUGACAUGAGUGCACUUCAGUCAUUUAUGUCAGCUGCUUGGCCCCCAUGGGCGUGGGCCUGAUGACUCCUGCUGUAAGAGAACAAGGGAAGUGCUCUCAGGGAGUCAAAAGGAGGAAAGGGUUUCAAAAAACAAGGAUCAGUCUAGAAAGAUUUAGUGGGUUAAGAGAACUGGAAAAGAGCCAUUGGACUUGAAUAUUUGGAGGCCAUUGGGCAACUUAAUGGUAGAAGUUCCAGUGGAGUAUAAGGGUGGAAGCCAUUGACUGAUGAAGAUGAAAAAUAGAUGAAGGAACUAGAAUCCAUGAAAACUGCUUAGCACAGGGAUUCAGUGGGAAAUUUUGUUUUAUUUUUUGUUUUGAUUGUUUGUUUUAAAUGUAAGUGGUCUGCAGGAGUCUUCAGGCCAUGACUCCUCUUCCUCCAGGGCAUUCCCUCCAAGGGAUCACAAGCACAAAGAUUUAUGGUAGAAGAAGUAUUAUUUUCAUUAACCUGAGAGAACAUUCCACACCUCUCAAUGCAGAGCUUAAAUAAAAACUACACAAUGGAAUACAAUUGAGGUCUAACACCAAAUUGGGACUUUCUGCUUCUUUCUCCAUGUGUUUAUACUUUUAAUACAGCUCAUAUUUGAGGAUGGGAAUUCACCAUUGCAUUGUAAGAAAAAGGGAAUCUGAAGUUUACCCAUUAUUGCUAAAGUCAAAGGAACAAAAUAGCAAGAGAGUAAAAAUUUGCCCCAAUGACUGGCGGCUUGGUCUAUGGUUGGGAAUUGCCUAUACCAGGCUGUCUUUGAGAACUCAGAAAGGAGAUGAUUUGUACCUCUAAGGAGAAAACAAAAGGAGUCCUCUUACGAGUCAUUGGAGCUAAAAUGGGGAAAGGAAGCAGGAACAGGAUAGGAGAGUGCUCAAACUCUAGUCUUUAGUACCAUCCAUUUAGUUGCUAGUAAAACUAGGGCAGUGAAUAUUUGGAUCUGGGCAAAAGGCUGUUCCCCACAAAAAUAACUUGUAUUCAAUGUGCAUGAUGCUCCCUGGCCCUCGUGACUGUUCAGAAUUACCAGUAUGUCCUUAUCAAGAGACAACAUACUAAGAGAAUAAGCCAGUUGCAUAAAGACAAGUGUGUCAUGACCUCACUUAUAUGAGUCAUUUAAAAUAGCCAAAUUCAUAGAAGCAAAGAUAGGUGAAAUGAUGGUUUCCAGGAGCUGGCAGAAGGGAAAGAUGGAGAGUAAUUAACCGAUGAGCAUAAAGUUUCAGUUAAACACGGUGAAUAAGCUCUUGAGAUCUCCUGCAUGACACUGCACAGCACAAGUAUCAUACACUUAAAAAUUUAAGAUGGCAGAUCUUAUAUUAAGUGUUCCUUCUACAAGAAAAUAAAACUUAAAAUAAGACAGUAAAAAGAGAGCUUAGUGUAGUGGCAUAGGUGAAGCUUCUAAAGCAACUGACUGCAAUUCCACUACUUGUGAGCUGUGCAACUUUGCCAAGCAUUUUGAUGUCUCUUAACCACUUUACAUCUAUAUUGGAAGACAGUUAUGAGGGCCGAUGGAUAAUAUAUGUAAAGUAUUAAAUAUAUGUCUAGCACAAAAUAGGUAUUCAAGAAAUUAUACGUGUACACACAUGUCAAUAUGUGAUUUUAUAAACCUAAAGAGUGGGAUUUCCCAAACCAUAUUAUAUGGAAAUCAUUUUCGAUCAACUUACCUGAGAGAAACCAUUUCCUUACUAGGAAAACAAUGUAUUUCACUGGGGGAAGAAACUGAGGUUGAGAAGGACUAAACAACUUAAUCAAAGCCCAUAAUUAAUAAAUAGCAGUCCUGGAAAUUGUCGUCUAGGGCUGGGGUCAGAAAAUUACCAUAUGGUGGCCAAAACCAGCCAGCUGUCUGUUUUGUAAAUAGAAGUCUUACUGGAACACAUACCAUUUGUUAUUAUUGUCUGUGGCUGCUUCUGCGCUUCAAUGGCAGAGUUGAGCAGUUGCUAUGGAGACAGAAUGGCCUGCAAAGUAUAAACUAUUACUCUCUAGAAGUUCCUGUUGUGGCUCAGUGGUAACAAACCUUGACUAGAAUCUAUGAGGAUGUGGGUUCAAUCCUUGGCCUUGCUCAGUGGGUUAAGGAUCUGGCAUGGCUGUGUGCUGCAGUGUAAAUUGAAGAUGUGGCUCGGAUCUGGCAUUGCUGUGGCUGUGGUGUAGACUGACAGCUGCAGCUCCAAUUUGAACUCUAGCCUGGGAACCUCCAUAUGCCGCAGGAGCGGCCCUAGAAAAG
RNAcentral lists this long non-coding RNA (6293 nucleotides) under Sus scrofa (pig). RNAcentral's name for it is "lncRNA (ENSSSCG00000060645.1)". The record is from RNAcentral. Lineage: Eukaryota; Metazoa; Chordata; Mammalia; Artiodactyla; Suidae.